ACCCAAACCCAGGUCUGCUGACUCCUAGUCCAGUGCUUGUGAUGGCUGGUGGGCCCUGAACUAGGGGUCUGGAGGCCUGGGUUUGACUAUC
This 91-nucleotide microRNA precursor is filed under the name Camelus bactrianus (Bactrian camel). RNAcentral describes it as "mir-345 microRNA precursor family". It matches the Rfam family "mir-345 microRNA precursor family". Lineage: Eukaryota; Metazoa; Chordata; Mammalia; Artiodactyla; Camelidae. RNAcentral also lists the same sequence under 3 other names. The record is from Rfam by way of RNAcentral.